RNAcentral lists this ribosomal RNA (834 nucleotides) under Foraminifera environmental sample. Its description in RNAcentral is "SSU rRNA". It matches the Rfam family "Eukaryotic small subunit ribosomal RNA", at positions 1160 to 1678 of the family's 1831-position model. The record is from RNAcentral. Lineage: Eukaryota; Foraminifera.
AAGGGCACCACAAGAACGCGUGGAGCAUGUGGCUUAAUUUGACUCAACGCGGGGAAUCUUACCGGGUCCGGACACACUGAGGAUUGACAGGCGCAAGGAGCCCUUGGGCUCUGUAAAUUUGCUAGUCCUUUCAUGAUUGUGUGAUAGGUGGUGCAUGGCCGUUCUUAGUUCGUGGAAUAAUCUGUCUGCUUAAUUGCGUUUUUUCAAAGUAGCCUUGGCGUCCGUUAUGCCUUCUGAGUGUGGUCAACGCUUGUCUUGCUUUUCAGUGGGGCGGCUUGGUUGCACCAGUUAGGUGGACUGUCCAGGGCCUUCUGAAACGAACGAGACCCCAACCCUUCUUUUUCAGUGACAAACAACGAAUUGUUGUUACCUUUUUUGGCUUGUUAGUUCUUGGGCUUGCUCAAGGCUGCUUGUCCAUUUCACGUCGCUGUUAACAGAAGGGGACUGUUACAUCCAAAUGUAAAGGAAGGUUGGGGCAAUAACAGGUCUGUGAUGCCCUUAGAUGUUCCGGGCUGCACACGUGCUACAAUGAUCUAUGCACUAAGCAUCUUUUAGUUCCGUAAUGCUCAUGUCUUUCUUUUAACCGAGGAAGCGUGAUGCAUGCGGCAUGCCUACUUCGAGAGGUAGUAGGUAAUCAUUUGGUAAUAUAGAUUUCCUUUGCAUUGUGACAUCAGGCUCUCUGAGUCUUGGUGUCACGUGUUUUCGAAUUAUGACUUCUUAGUGGGGACAGACCAUUGUUAAUUGUUGGUCUCGCUUUAACUAGGAAUGCCUUGUACAGGUGGUUCAACAGACCGCCUGGAAUACGUCCCUGCCCUUUGUACACACCGCCCGUCA